UAUUAUUAUUAUUAUUAUUUGUUGUUUUUAGGAGGGACAAACAGCAAUAAAAGAGAAAUUAUUGCAUUGGCAAAUUCAUAGCUGAAUAAGUUAUCAUAUAAGGAAUCACAUCCAAUUUGGUAACAUAUGUGAGAGCGCAUAAGUGCAUUUGCAUGCUCAUGCACUCUUAAGACUUAAGAUAGAGAAGUCAUUAAUGCAUAAGGGCAAAAACAAAUAUAAAAAUCAAAGAAGACAAUAGUUUAAUGUCAAAUGGUUCUAAUAGUACCUGUAAGCGAGUCUUGAUAGUA
This 287-nucleotide unclassified non-coding RNA is filed under the name Hevea brasiliensis (rubber tree). Lineage: Eukaryota; Viridiplantae; Streptophyta; Magnoliopsida; Malpighiales; Euphorbiaceae. The record is from RNAcentral.